AAUGAGGACUAGUAUGAAUGGCACCACGAAGGUUAUACUGUCUCCUUUUUCUAAUCAAUGAAACUAAUCUCCCCGUGAAGAAGCGGGGAUAAACCUAUAAGACGAGAAGACCCUAUGGAGCUUUAAACAACAUAGCACCUACCUUAUAACAUAAAAUUUCCCGAACACUUGAAUUUUACUGGUAUACUGACUAUAAGUUUUUGGUUGGGGUGACCGAGGAGCAUAAUGCAACCUCCAUGUUGAAAGAUACUUAUUCUUAGCUAAGACCUACCAGUCUAAGCAUCAAUAUAUUGACAUCCAUUGACCCAAUAAAAUUGAACAACGAACCAAGUUACCCUAGGGAUAACAGCGCAAUCCACUUCAAGAGCUCCUAUCGACAAGUGGGUUUACGACCUCGAUGUUGGAUCAGGGUAUCCCAGUGGUGCAGCCGCUACUAAAGGUUCGUUUGUU
RNAcentral lists this ribosomal RNA (450 nucleotides) under Incilius valliceps (Southern Gulf Coast toad). RNAcentral's name for it is "partial 16S ribosomal RNA". It matches the Rfam family "Bacterial large subunit ribosomal RNA", at positions 1979 to 2581 of the family's 2925-position model. Lineage: Eukaryota; Metazoa; Chordata; Amphibia; Anura; Bufonidae. The record is from RNAcentral.